Molecule: ribosomal RNA, 327 nt
Filed under: uncultured eukaryote
Lineage: Eukaryota
Description: partial 18S ribosomal RNA
Rfam family: Eukaryotic small subunit ribosomal RNA
Source: RNAcentral
CCCUUAGAUGUUCUGGGCCGCACGCGUGCUACACUGGGUGGAUCAGCGGGUCAGGUUGCGCGAAAGCGUUUCCUAAUCUUUAAAUCCGCUCGUGAUGGGGAUUGACGGUUGCAAUUUUCUGUCAUGAACGAGGAAUACCUUGUAAGCGCGGGUCAUCAUCCCGCGCUGAAUACGUCCCUGCCCUUUGUACACACCGCCCGUCGCUACUACCGAUUGAACGGUUUAGUGAGGGCCUCGGAUUGGUCUCGGCCCGCUCUUUACCGGGCGGCGCCGUUGGUCGAGAAGACGCUCGAACUUGAUCGUUUAGAGGAAGUAAAAGUCGUAACA